RNAcentral lists this ribosomal RNA (282 nucleotides) under Parabacteroides merdae. Its description in RNAcentral is "partial 16S ribosomal RNA". It matches the Rfam family "Bacterial small subunit ribosomal RNA", at positions 524 to 806 of the family's 1533-position model. Lineage: Bacteria; Pseudomonadati; Bacteroidota; Bacteroidia; Bacteroidales; Tannerellaceae. The record is from RNAcentral.
UACGGAGGAUGCGAGCGUUAUCCGGAUUUAUUGGGUUUAAAGGGUGCGUAGGUGGUGAUUUAAGUCAGCGGUGAAAGUUUGUGGCUCAACCAUAAAAUUGCCGUUGAAACUGGGUUACUUGAGUGUGUUUGAGGUAGGCGGAAUGCGUGGUGUAGCGGUGAAAUGCAUAGAUAUCACGCAGAACUCCGAUUGCGAAGGCAGCUUACUAAACCAUAACUGACACUGAAGCACGAAAGCGUGGGGAUCAAACAGGAUUAGAUACCCCGGUAGUCCGGCUAUGCU